RNAcentral lists this ribosomal RNA (810 nucleotides) under Triticum aestivum (bread wheat). RNAcentral's name for it is "partial small subunit ribosomal RNA". The record is from RNAcentral. Lineage: Eukaryota; Viridiplantae; Streptophyta; Magnoliopsida; Poales; Poaceae.
AUGGCGAGGGUGAUGCACCGGUCGAGCUCGGACGGCGGGUCGAGCAGCGGGUGGUCGGAGGCGGCCGCGGCGGCGGCGGGGGAGGAGGAGAGGGCCGGAUGGGAGGUGCGGCCGAGCGGGAUGGUCGUGCAGGCCCGGGACAGGGGCGCCGACGGCGCCGCGGCGGGGGUGCCGCCCAGGCCGCCGCCGCCGGAGAUCAGGGUGCGGGUCAAGUACGGCGCCGCCACCCACGAGGUCGCCGUCUCCUCCAUUGCCACCUUCGGUGAGCUGAAGAAGGCGCUGGCGCCGAGGACGGGGCUGCAGCCGUCGGAGCAGCUGGUGACGUACAAGGGGCGGGAGCGGAAGAACUCGGAGUUCUUGGACAGGUUCGGCGUCAAGAACAAGUCCAAGCUGGUGGUGUCCGAGGACCCGGCGAGCCUGGAGCGGCGCUACAUCGAGCGGCAGAGGAACGCCAGGAUCCAGAACGCCAACCGCGCCAUCGGCGCCAUCGCCCUCGAGCUCGACAAGCUCGCCGAUCAGGUGACGAGCAUCGAGAAGUCGGUGUCCGGCGGGAGCAAGGUGGCGGAGGUGCAGAUCACGACGCUGAUCGAGCUGCUGAUGCGGCACGCGGUGAAGCUGGAGAGCAUACCUGCCGACGCCGACACCUCCUCGCAGAAGAACCUCCAGGCGAAGCGGGUGCAGAAGUGCGUGGAGGCGCUGGACGUGCUCAAGGUGUCCAACGGGCGGCUGCAGACGGUGGUGGUGACCACCAAGUGGGAGACGUUCGACAGCAGCCCCCCGGUCACCACCAAGUGGGAGAUCUUCGACUGA